CGGGUGCGUAACACGUGAACAACCUGCCCUCGUGUGGGGGAUAGCCAUGCUAACGCGUGGGUAAUACCGCAUACGUUCUCGAGGAGGAGUCUUCUUGGGAAGAAAGCUCCGGCGCACGGGGAGGGGUUCGCGGCCUAUCAGCUAGUUGGUGCGGUAACGGCGCACCAAGGCGACGACGGGUAGCUGGUCUGAGAGGAUGGCCAGCCACAUUGGGACUGAGAUACGGCCCAG
RNAcentral lists this ribosomal RNA (231 nucleotides) under uncultured bacterium. RNAcentral describes it as "partial 16S ribosomal RNA". It matches the Rfam family "Bacterial small subunit ribosomal RNA", at positions 103 to 334 of the family's 1533-position model. The record is from RNAcentral.